This 253-nucleotide ribosomal RNA is filed under the name uncultured bacterium. RNAcentral's name for it is "partial 16S ribosomal RNA". It matches the Rfam family "Bacterial small subunit ribosomal RNA", at positions 524 to 776 of the family's 1533-position model. The record is from RNAcentral.
UACAGAGGUCUCAAGCGUUGUUCGGAUUCAUUGGGCGUAAAGGGUGCGUAGGCGGCUUGGCAAAUCGGUCGUGGAAUCCCGACGCUUACCGUCGGAACGGCGGCCGAAAAUACCGAGCUCGAGGGCGUGAGGGGUCACUGGAACUCCUGGUGAAGCGGUGAAAUGCGUAGAUAUCAGGAGGAACGCCGGAGGCGAAAGCGAGUGACUGGCGCGUUCCUGACGCUGAGGUGCGAAAGCUAGGGGAGCAAACAGG